RNAcentral lists this long non-coding RNA (321 nucleotides) under Elaeis guineensis (African oil palm). RNAcentral's name for it is "long non-coding RNA (EGUI_LNC031543)". Lineage: Eukaryota; Viridiplantae; Streptophyta; Magnoliopsida; Arecales; Arecaceae. The record is from RNAcentral.
CAAGGUGAUGAUGAUGAAGUAGAGGCUAGGGCAACAAAUGAAGAUAAUUAAAAUAAAGAUAAAUUAUAGGAACACUCUUUCAACUUUAAAAAUUGUCAAAUUAGUUCUUCAAGUUUUUAAAAUUUUUUAAUGUGGUACUACUAUUUAUUUACUAGCAAAUGGUGCUAGCUUUUUAUUUCAAUAGAUGAAAAUGCCCUUUGUUCAUAUUGAAUAGAUUAUCGACAAGAAAGGGAUAGAGGUGGAGGAAGUUGCCAUGGAUGGAGAGGGUGGGAUCAUGGAGGUCGGCGUGGAAGGAGAGGACGGCAUCAAGAGCCUCAUGGG